Molecule: ribosomal RNA, 354 nt
Filed under: uncultured Limnohabitans sp.
Lineage: Bacteria; Pseudomonadati; Pseudomonadota; Betaproteobacteria; Burkholderiales; Comamonadaceae
Description: bacterial SSU rRNA
Rfam family: Bacterial small subunit ribosomal RNA
Source: RNAcentral
AGCUGAGUUUGAUCCUGGCUCAGAUUGAACGCUGGCGGAAUGCUUUACACAUGCAAGUCGAACGGUAGAGGGGGCAACCCCUCGAGAGUGGCGAACGGGUGAGUAAUAUAUCGGAACGUGCCCAGUCGUGGGGGAUAACGUAGCGAAAGUUACGCUAAUACCGCAUACGAUCUAAGGAUGAAAGCGGGGGAUCGUAAGACCUCGCGCCGAUGGAUGAGCCCAUGUCGGAUUAGCUAGUUGGUGAGGUAAUGGCUCACCGAAGGCGACGAUCCGUAGCUGGUCUGAGACGGGCGACCGGCCACACGUGGGACUGAGACACGGCCCAGACCUCCGUACGGGGAGGCAGCAGUGGGG